This 253-nucleotide ribosomal RNA is filed under the name uncultured bacterium. RNAcentral describes it as "partial 16S ribosomal RNA". It matches the Rfam family "Bacterial small subunit ribosomal RNA", at positions 524 to 776 of the family's 1533-position model. The record is from RNAcentral.
UACGAAGGGGGCUAGCGUUGCUCGGAAUCACUGGGCGUAAAGGGUGCGUAGGCGGGUUUUUAAGUCAGGGGUGAAAUCCUGGAGCUCAACUCCAGAACUGCCUUUGAUACUGAAGAUCUUGAGUCCGGGAGAGGUGAGUGGAACUGCAAGUGUAGAGGUGAAAUUCGUAGAUAUUCGCAAGAACACCAGUGGCGAAGGCGGCUCACUGGCCCGAUACUGACGCUGAGGCACGAAAGCGUGGGGAGCAAACAGG